RNAcentral lists this transfer RNA (77 nucleotides) under Acidobacteriota bacterium. RNAcentral's name for it is "tRNA-Arg". It matches the Rfam family "tRNA". From Rfam's summary of the family: Transfer RNA (tRNA) molecules are approximately 80 nucleotides in length. Their secondary structure includes four short double-helical elements and three loops (D, anti-codon, and T loops). The record is from RNAcentral. Lineage: Bacteria; Pseudomonadati; Acidobacteriota. RNAcentral also lists the same sequence under 3 other names.
GCGCCCGUAGCUCAGCUGGAUAGAGCGUCUGGCUACGAACCAGAAGGUCGCGUGUUCGAAUCGCGCCGGGCGCACCA